AAUAACCAAAUAUGAUACUCGGGCUAAGGGUCAAGUUGGUAAUUUUUCUUACAUCUCCCUCUCCCGGAGCUCAGGUAUCAUGUACGCCCCCAAAAUAAAGAGCCUUGAAUACUAGAAGAAAAGCACCGAGACCUAACAAGAUUAAGUGAAUACCUAAAAUUGUGGUCAUUUUAUUUCGAUCUUUCAA
Molecule: antisense RNA, 187 nt
Filed under: Capsicum annuum
Lineage: Eukaryota; Viridiplantae; Streptophyta; Magnoliopsida; Solanales; Solanaceae
Description: Antisense RNA which regulates isiA expression
Rfam family: Antisense RNA which regulates isiA expression
Source: Rfam by way of RNAcentral